This 461-nucleotide ribosomal RNA is filed under the name uncultured bacterium. Its description in RNAcentral is "partial 16S ribosomal RNA". It matches the Rfam family "Bacterial small subunit ribosomal RNA", at positions 29 to 506 of the family's 1533-position model. The record is from RNAcentral.
AUGAACGUUGGCGGCGUGUCUAAGGCAUGCAAGUUGAGCGACGCGUUCCCGCAAGGGAAUGGCGAGCGGCAGACGGGUGCGUAACACAUUGGUAAUCUACCUUCGAGACGGGGAUAGCUUCCCGAAAGGGAAAUUAAUACCCGAUGGUCAUGGGGGGACACAUGUCAUUCCCAUGUAAAGAUUUAUUACUCGAAGAGGAGCCUAUGGCCUAUCAGCUAGUUGGCGGGGUAAAAGCCCACCAAGGCUAUGACGGGUAGGGGACGUGAGAGCGUGAUCCCCCUCACUGGGACUGAGACACUGCCCAGACUCCUACGGGAGGCUGCAGUCAAGAAUAUUCCGCAAUGCGCGAAAGCGUGACGGAGCGACGCCGCGUGCAGGAUGAAGCCCUUCGGGGUGUAAACUGCUUUUACGAGGGAAGAAUUUGUGACGGUACCUCGUGAAUAAGAGGUUGCUAACUCUGU